Molecule: long non-coding RNA, 1787 nt
Filed under: Androctonus crassicauda
Lineage: Eukaryota; Metazoa; Arthropoda; Arachnida; Scorpiones; Buthidae
Source: RNAcentral
AAUUUUUUUUUGCUGUUACUUAUAGUGCCGAUAAAAAUGUAUUGCAUUUAGAUGAACGAAUUAAGUUAUAAAAUCAUCUUUCUCUUCAAAAUGAAUUGUUAAUUACAGCUCAGUGCGCGGCAGCUAAAUAUUUUUAGCUUUAAUUAAUGGGCAUACAGUACAUAUUCUUAAAUUAAUCCGUAUGAAACAUGGUUAUUUUAGAUUAAAAGAAGCCACCUUACCAGGGAGAAGGGCUGCAAAAAAGCAAACACUGUCCCUUAAUAACAUCAUCGAUCACAUAGGAUUUUCUUACCAGCACCAGCAUUGGGGGGACGAAGUGGAAUAUUAUUAUUUUUACUGACGAAAAGGCCUUUAGUAUCGAUAACAAUGGUGAGGUAUGGGUAUACCGGCCCAAAGGAAUUCGGUAUGAUGCUAAAUAUGUGCACAGGAGAAGAAGAAGCAGCAGAUUUUCCGUAGGUAUGAUUAUAUACUCACUUGAGAUAAAUUAUUUUAUGAAUUACCUUUUCUGUUUCAUUACUAACAUUGAGGAGGACAAAAUUUGUUUUUCAUAGGGCCUAUUUUCAGUGUGUCAACCAGUGGUGGGAUUCAGAAACUUUAACAGCCAAUUUGCUGCAUUAGAUGAUUUCGUAUAUAAAACAUACCGCUAAAAGUUGGAACAGCAGCAUUUAUUUUGUUUUUAUGCAUUUACAUGGGAAGUAUAACAGUAGAAAUAAUUAUUAUUUUAUUUCUUAAUUUGUCUUUUAUAAAAGAACAACAAAAUUAUAAAUUAAAAAGUUUCUCCUAAAUUAUUAUCAGUAAUAUUUUUCCCUACAUGCAUAUUUUAGCCAAACAAUAUAUUUGCCCAAAUUGACAAAAUUUUAGGAAACAGUUACCCGGAACCACUGGGGAUGGGCUGAACUAAAUAACUAUAGCGAAUCUGAUGAGAACCCGGCUGUUAUGCCUGUUCUUUAUUCCUGCCAUUUUCUUCUGAUUUCUUCUAGUCCCAUUGAGAGGUUAGGAGAUGUUGACGCUACAUGCGCCAAUACGUUAGAUGGGGAAUAUAUUGACUUCCAUUCUGUUGAUAGGUUAAAACUGGGCAAUGGGACUAAUGGUUUGAAAUACACAUCAUAUAGUGGUCUGUUUGCCAAUCACAAUGUCUGCUCUCCUCACAGCUGCUUUUUCUGUUGACCAAUCAUCAGAAUGGAAUUGAUGAUGCUUUUUGUCAUUGUGCCUGUUUCAGUUUUAUAUUUAGAACGGAAAGAAUUACACAAAUAUUUCUUCCACUCAUUUAUGCAGGAUCUAACUGCUUUCCAACAGAUUGUAUCAAAUUCUUUAGGUAGCCCUGAUAUAUAGUUAGAUUGUAACAAACUCACCAGUUUCGCUUGUCAUUGCUUUUCACAGGAAAUCUGUCUGUAUAGUGAUUAAAUUCACAAGUUAUUAUACACAGGCAAGCCAAUUUGUUAGCCUAAUAACUAAUCUCUAGGCCUACCUAUGCCAAUGUAGGCUAGCUAUCGUUAGCUCAUAAUAUAGCUCAAGCAUUGGUUUAAACUGAAAAUAAAAGAUAGAAUCAUUGUAUUAACCUCAUUCUUUAUCAAUUUACAAAUUCAAAUUGAUGGCAAUUUUAUAAAUGAUAUUUGUUCUAACUUGUAACAGACGCUUUACUUGUUGCUGUAUUCAUAAUAUUUAUAUUUUCUAGCUGUUUGGGAUUGGAUGUCAACAGCUGGCCCUGGCAAAUUGGUAAGAAUUGAUGGAAAUCUGACAGCCAGUCAAUAUGUUGACAUUUUAGAAAAUGCCCGUAUCCCAUCGGU